CACCUUCUGAGUGUCUAUUUUUUUCGGUAUAUACUCGUUCCACUCCUGUGGACACCCGAACGACCAUUGAGCCGUUCAAUUUUUGCAGGCGGCAACGCCACAC
This 103-nucleotide unclassified non-coding RNA is filed under the name Phacus curvicauda. RNAcentral's name for it is "SL-RNA". Lineage: Eukaryota; Euglenozoa; Euglenophyceae; Euglenales; Phacaceae. The record is from RNAcentral.